GAGAAGUGGAACAUGCACACUUAACCACUGCACCACCAGGCCAGUCCCGUGAACAUCCUUUCAUAUUGGGUGAGUAUUCCCAAUUGCCUGAAAAACUGGACCUCAUCUGUCCCAGCGUUCUGUGCCACUCUACACGCCUGCAGGAGCCCAGCUCUGUGAUAGACUCGGUGGGGAAUCCAGAACAGACAGAAGAAACUGUUCUCCCUGCUGGAGCCUGUGAUCUUGUGAAGAAAGUAAGACCUGAAGAGCAGGAGACUUCUCUCUGUAGCCACAGGACGUGAUGGGGCGAGAAACUAGGACUGAUGACAUAAUUUGGGGAGUCAUAAGAGAUUGAGGCUUUUUGUGGACCGGCACAGAACUUGCCCUGAUUAACCCCACACCUUCUUUGCUGCUUUCUUGGAACACAUGAAUGUGUGGCAUAGCAAACUUCCCUCCGUGGUUAUUCUCAAACUGUUUACUUUUCUUUAUUUGCCUUCAGAGUGACUACCUUUUUUAAAGUAUAAAGACUUGACAGAGCUCAAGUGCCAGGCCCCAGCCCUCCGACAAAUCUUUUCAGCAAGAUGUAAACACGCAUGGAUGGAAACUUGGUCUUCGUAAACCUGCCAGCCUCACUGAGUAGUUAGUGUGGUAUUUGCACUUGACCAGAUUCGAGAAGGUGGAACCUGCGAGGCCACCUCACCUUCCAGCCUCAUGCUCACCCCAACCCUCUCUUCUGGCGCCUCUCUCCUCGGAUGUCUGCCAGGGCCUGACAUUUAUUUCUGAAGGCUUUUGAAAGACUCUGGGCCAAGACCUUAGCUCAUAAAAACUUAAAGGUCCGUUCUCCAAGGAGCCUUUUUAUGGGGAAACACCUACGAGUGAACAUUGAAAAACUGAGGAAUGAGCGCGUUUCUAGUGAGUGAGUUCCGAGAGUGGACAGGAGGCCUUGCGGCCUCUCUUUGGAGUGUCCCAGAAGUGAAACCCGGGAAGGGAAACCUCGUGAAGGGGUGCGGCUCUGUUUCGCUCUUUGGCUAACAUUGAUAACUGGAUGUGGAGAGGAAGAUGCCACUCAUUUUGGCUGUCCCAAGUCAUGAACAAGGCUCUUUAGAAAAAUCCCAUACUUGGUCCCCUCAUGAUAAAAGGUUUGUAAAAAAAACCACUAUCAUCCAUUUUGGACAACCUUGUCUCCAGCCAGGGUGGAAAAGUGGAAAAGGGGAGGAUGAAAUCCCGCAGCCCUCUGAUUCUAAAAUGUGCUGGGCUGUCAGCUCCUCUGGCCCCAGAUGAAGGUGUCAGUUCUUCUCGGGCACAAAAGCUGAAGUCGCAAGGCCUCCUUUUUCCUCCCCUACUUUCCUCCCUUCCUUCCUCUUUCUUUCAUUGCUUCUUUCCAAGUAUCUGGGAAAUGUGAAACUUCUUGUUUCAGAUACUUGCACUGCCGUAUGAUUUGAUUUGAUCUGCUUAUUUUUUUUAAGCAGAAGGAAUGCUUGUCUUGGCACAGGUCUUUUUGUGUGGGUAAAAGGAAGCAACACAGAAAAGAGGUACGAAAAUUUCCCUUUUGAUAUAAGAAUAGUUUGUCAUAAGAUUCUGCACACCAAAUACCCAGCCUUGGAGAGAGUAUUUUUGCCGUCAGCCUUGUCACCCAAGACUCCAUUUUUCCCUUCUUCUCUUCCCUUCCCUCCUCUGGCGUCACUUUUGCAUGUGUCUCUGAAUAUAAUAAAGUUGCUUUGAGGUUUUU
Long non-coding RNA from Equus caballus (horse), 1708 nucleotides. RefSeq lists it as uncharacterized. NCBI's taxonomy places the organism in Eukaryota, Metazoa, Chordata, Mammalia, Perissodactyla, Equidae. The record is from RefSeq and is a predicted model, not a curated record.